AUGAACGCUGGCGGCGUGCCUAAUCCAUGCAAGUCGAGCGAACAGACGAGGAGCUUGCUCCUCUGACGUUAGCGGCGGACGGGUGAGUAACACGUGGAUAACCUACCUAUAAGACUGGGAUAACUUCGGGAAACCGGAGCUAAUACCGGAUAAUAUAUUGAACCGCAUGGUUCAAUAGUGAAAGACGGUUUUGCUGUCACUUAUAGAUGGAUCCGCGCCGCAUUAGCUAGUUGGUAAGGUAACGGCUUACCAAGGCAACGAUGUGUAGCCGACCUGAGAGGGUGAUCGGCCACACUGGAACUGAGACACGGUCCAGACUCCUACGGGAGGCAGCAGUAGGGAAUCUUCCGCAAUGGGCGAAAGCCUGACGGAGCAACGCCGCGUGAGUGAUGAAGGUCUUCGGAUCGUAAAACUCUGUUAUUAGGGAAGAACAAAUGUGUAAGUAACUAUGCACGUCUUGACGGUACCUAAUCAGAAAGCCACGGCUAACUACGUG
This 496-nucleotide ribosomal RNA is filed under the name uncultured bacterium. RNAcentral describes it as "partial 16S ribosomal RNA". It matches the Rfam family "Bacterial small subunit ribosomal RNA", at positions 29 to 507 of the family's 1533-position model. The record is from RNAcentral.